AACGCCUGUCUUUUCAAUGGAGUUGGGAUUUUGACAAUUCAUAAUCACUUGAUGAAUUAUGAACCUAGCGGUUGUUGUAAUUCUCCAUCCAUUCUCGUUUCUUCAACGGGCAAUUGAUGGUCCACAUUCACGGUUUCACUUUUCAACAUUGACAAACAACAUUCAUGAGAUUUCAUUUUUCCAUUGAUUGGAAGGCAAUAGUAGCCAUAAUAUGAUGGAAAUUUGGCUAUAUAUAGAUAGGUUGUUGUCCCCAAGCUCAAAACAUACAUGAUACACUAUCAAAUUUGAGUGUUGAGAGCUUAGAAGUGCCAUUACCUGGAACAAUGAGAGCUUUUUGAACAAUAUCAAUGGAUGAAGGUAUGAAUCUGAUUUGUCGAAUGUUCAAUUUUUCGAUCCAAUUUGAUUCCACAUAAUUGUUUUGGAUCGAUUUUAGUCUAACAGUUGUAAUAUUUCUAGGCAAUAUUUAGCACUUACUCGUACAUAAGAGGUUGACGGAAUGACAUGGAUUUUUAAAAAAAGGUAGAAAAUGUUGGAUGAAAACCGGCCCAUAUCUAUACCGGUUUCACCUCACAUUUCCUCCAUUUUGCACUCAAAUUGCAGAAACUUUUGAAUCCAUCAUCUUUCUGCCCUAACUUCAUCCGGAUUCUUCAACUCCAUUGCUUAACUCAACAAUCCCGACGGUAUCCAUUUUGUCCAGUUGUUUGGUUUUCCAUUUGUCAGUUGUUUGACCGAUUUUUCUUCUUUCGAAGCCAGGAACACCAUCUUCUUAGGGAGAAUCUGCGGCAAACCUUUGGUAAGUAAGAUAUUUGGUUUACAUGGGUGUGUCAAUUUGUUGAGCAUAUGUGUACUAUGUGUUCUGAUUGUGUAAUGAGAUGCCAUUUUUAGAACACAUGUAGUAGUUUCUAUUACAGAGGUCUUCAACAUCCUUGCGAAUUUGAAGUUAAUGACAUGACUUAUGCUAUUUUAUCACUAUUAAUUUGUUUUUGCAUAAAUAAAUUUACAGGGAUCCAAAUGAUUCAAAGAUUGGUGCAUCUUUUUAUUAAAUUUAUGGUCACUUGAUAUUAUUAGUUGUGCAUACUGUAAUUUACUACUUUUCGACUUGCUGAAGAGAUGAUAAGGUUUUCUAUUUAACCGUUGCAUAGUAAGACAAUCUAUAUGUAGAGUUCAAUAAGGUAAACUAAAAAUAUUGUCGAUAAAUGUUAAGUAUUGCUAAAAGAAAACCAAUGGGAAAAACCUAUGGGUUAAAAUUUGUCUGUUUAGUUAGGUAGUCUGGCCUAUUUCUGGAUUAACUUGGCCUAGAUAAAGGUAUGUGGUUGAGGUUUUGUGUAUUGAAUGUGUAAUGAAGUUUCAUGUUUUCAGAAAUUUAUUGUUAUUCCAUGCUAUAAAGAAUGAAAUGAAGUUAUAUAGGUCUUCAAAAUUCUUGUGUACUGAAAUUGACUAUGAAGUAGUUUUUAAUUUCAAUUUAACUUUCUUGAACAUUUUAUUAUCAAAUUUGCUAAGCAUUAAUUUGAAUUAGUUAUUACGUCAUAUUGACAUUUUGUCUAUGUGGUUGAAUUGUAGCUUAUAAUGUGAAGAAAAAAUCACGAAGUAUGUCAUAAUUGUAGACAUAACGAUCUUAUUUGGGGAUUGCCCAAAUAAACGCCCAUGCCAAUUGUGUAAACAUGAAUUUGUGAAGGUGUUUUUAGGUGGAGAAGGAUACUGAGAAAAAAAAGGUAAUUUGUUCAAUUGUUGCAACGCGAACUGUGGAUAUUGGGAGUGGGUUUGAGCAGGUAAAACAAAUAGUGAAUCAACAGAAAUCGUUGGCAGUACCUCCACUAACCCUGUGGAUAAUGAAUUAGUUCAAGAUGUCUUUGGCAUGCUUGAAAUCAUGUGUCGGCUAACUUAGGAAAAAGAUGUGGAAAGAGGAAAAGCGAUUGCAAAAGAAGAUAAGAAAUGAAAGGGUGCCUAAUUUGUAGUUGUUAAUUUAAUCAAAUUGUUAUUUUAAGACUUUAUUGGGAUGCCUACCAUGUGGUUAGUGUUUUACGUGAAAUUUACAUGAAUUAAAGUUUACCUAUACCUCUGUAACCUACGAGAACAUUUUACCAGCAAAUCACAUAAAAACGUAGAGGUCUAUAGCUAAAAAAUAUUUUCCAUUGAUAGAUUAAUGUGCUAAACACAAUUCAUUAGCUACUAAACAAGUAGAG
RNAcentral lists this long non-coding RNA (2183 nucleotides) under Olea europaea subsp. europaea. Lineage: Eukaryota; Viridiplantae; Streptophyta; Magnoliopsida; Lamiales; Oleaceae. The record is from RNAcentral.